Non-coding RNA from Ictidomys tridecemlineatus (thirteen-lined ground squirrel), 230 nucleotides. NCBI's taxonomy places the organism in Eukaryota, Metazoa, Chordata, Mammalia, Rodentia, Sciuridae. The record is from RefSeq and is a predicted model, not a curated record.
CUGGUGGUGAUAAGAAAGUUGGUCCUAUAUUAAAAUGGAGACUUGAGCCAAAAAAUGUGAUGAAGUGGGCUCUUCUACUACCAUCUACACUUCAUAAAUUGGAAAAUGAAACAAAAUGAGGAUGCCACACACAUUCAUUUGCAUGGAGAAUUAUGAGAUGAUGAUGCUCCGUUUUCUUCAAAGCCCUGAUCAGCAGCAUCUUCACAUCAGAGUAGAGAUGUCAGAUGUCU